This 871-nucleotide long non-coding RNA is filed under the name Eucalyptus grandis. Its description in RNAcentral is "long non-coding RNA (EGRA_LNC003456)". The record is from RNAcentral. Lineage: Eukaryota; Viridiplantae; Streptophyta; Magnoliopsida; Myrtales; Myrtaceae.
UUCUUUUUGUCAUUUCCCUAUUUUUUCCUAUUCCCUGCACCUUCUCCUCUACGACUCCUCCUUCACAAAGCCCACUCUUGUCUUCCUCUUCUCUAUAUUUCGCUUUUUUUUUUUUGCAUUUUUUUCUUUUUUAUUCCUUUUCUCCUUUGUCUUUUCCUUACUUCGUCCUUUUCGCCUGCACUCUUUCAACCCAGCAUCGUCUGCCUCUCGCCCCUCCUUCAGUGAAGUCAAAGGUCCGCAGAAGGCCAGAACAUCAACCUUACUUCUUUGAUGAUCCAAAAAAAAAAAAACAAAAAAAAAAACAUCUAACAAUUCCAAGAAUCUAAGCUUAAUCAAAAUGAUUUAAGCCUCUUGCAAACUAUCACGGCCACAAACAUCUUCUUUCAAAAUCACUAUUUAAGAAAUUCUGAUUCGGAAACAUGCCACACAUACGAAAAUGCUAAAACAAGAACAUCCAAAACAGAGGGUAGCAGCGGAGGCCUAUUAAAACUCAUCUCACAAGCAAAAGAAUCCAGGAAUGCACAGAGGACUAAGAACGGAUGUAGGUAUUUUGGUCAGACAUUUCGUCGAACACGUGGAGAUGUUUGAGAAGAGCGUCAGCUAAACGGAACCUUCAUAUUUAUUGGAGACACGAAAUUAGACCAAAAACAGCAAAUGAAGUUCGAAUUCCGCACGGAAACGACAGAUUAUACUCAGUACGAACAAAAGAACAGCAAGCAUCAGAGACAAAGACGACCAAACAUGAGCAUGUAGCUAGGCAUUUUAUCAAGCAUACGGCGUGCACUAAAAAAACAAGAGAUUUUUGCCACGAUCGAAACUCAAACAUGGGCCUAGGUUCCUAACCGAGCAUUCCAGAACACCGGAUCAGUAG